RNAcentral lists this unclassified non-coding RNA (240 nucleotides) under soil metagenome. RNAcentral describes it as "partial contains 5.8S ribosomal RNA, internal transcribed spacer 2, and large subunit ribosomal RNA". The record is from RNAcentral.
AACUGAUACUACCUGCGGGAACCUGCGGAGGGAUCAUUAACGAGUUUUGAAGUGGGAUUGAUGCUGGCCUUCCGAGGCAUGUGCUCGUCCUCGCUCAUCCACUCACAACACCUGUGCACUGUUGAGGUGUGGCCCCCCUUCAAUGGAGCCGUUCCCCCCUAGGGGGUCGAGCCGGGGUCAGGCCUUCUUCGUCACAAACAACUUGUAACGUCUAUUCGGAAUGUAAUGCUUCAUGUUAAU